Schizosaccharomyces pombe (fission yeast) is the source of this 273-nucleotide non-coding RNA. The record is from the annotation of a GenBank genome assembly. Lineage: Eukaryota; Fungi; Ascomycota; Schizosaccharomycetes; Schizosaccharomycetales; Schizosaccharomycetaceae.
AUAUCAGACAAAGAAAUCAAACACCUCAACAAGCGAGAUCACAGGUAACAGCUACGGCCUCCAGGUAACAGGCUUUUCACCCGCGGAGGCGACAAGAUAGAGAUGCGAUUUGCGCCGAGAUGAGUGUAAAACAGUAUUGCUAGAGUGAACGAGUACACAGAUGAGAGUGGAAAUUCGCAUUGUAUCACAAAAAUUAUAUAUUUUGAUUUCGAAAUAGGGAAUUAUCGGGAUGCGCUAUGCUGCAAAGAAAAGAAGAAAUGGCGCAUUUGCUUG